RNAcentral lists this ribosomal RNA (447 nucleotides) under uncultured bacterium. RNAcentral describes it as "SSU rRNA". It matches the Rfam family "Bacterial small subunit ribosomal RNA", at positions 26 to 518 of the family's 1533-position model. The record is from RNAcentral.
AGAGCGAACGCUGGCGGCAGGCUUAACACAUGCAAGUCGAGCGGGCGUAGCAAGUACGUCAGCGGCAGACGGGUGAGUAACGCGUGGGAACGUACCUUUUGGUUCGGAACAACACAGGGAAACUUGUGCUAAUACCGGAUAAGCCCUUACGGGGAAAGAUUUAUCGCCGAAAGAUCGGCCCGCGUCUGAUUAGCUAGUUGGUGAGGUAACGGCUCACCAAGGCGACGAUCAGUAGCUGGUCUGAGAGGAUGAUCAGCCACAUUGGGACUGAGACACGGCCCAAACUCCUACGGGAGGCAGCAGUGGGGAAUAUUGGACAAUGGGCGAAAGCCUGAUCCAGCCAUGCCGCGUGAGUGAUGAAGGCCCUAGGGUUGUAAAGCUCUUUGUGCGGGAAGAUAAUGACGGUACCGCAAGAUAAGCCCCGGCUAACUUCGUGCCAGCAGCCGC